Molecule: long non-coding RNA, 1209 nt
Organism: Phyllopteryx taeniolatus (common seadragon)
Lineage: Eukaryota; Metazoa; Chordata; Actinopteri; Syngnathiformes; Syngnathidae
Exons: 3
Source: RefSeq, a predicted model, not a curated record
GAUCAAACAGCAAUCCAGCCCCUUGUCAGUGCAAAUGAAUAUCAGUGUCACAUACUACCCUGCAGUUCCAUUAUAGGAGCCUAGAGGGCGCUUGGCAUCCUUUCUCUCUCCCCCCUCCCCUCUCUGUUUUCAGCACCUGUCUCCAAUCAGCCUCAUCCAUCACCACCGGUAUAUAAGCCUGCCCGUUCCAGGAAAUUCUCGCCAAAGUUCCAGCGGUACCACGGCCCAUUUACCUCCAAGUAAGCCACACUAUUCCUCGGUCCUUUUUUUGACUCCUGUGUUUCCUUGUUCUCAGUGUUCCUGCUCCACGUCACUCCUGCCGCCAAGCCAGCCGCUUGUCCACGCUCCCCCCUGCCAAUGCACCCAGGACCACCUCCAUAACCUUUCCUCAAUAAGCUGUUCAUCAUUUUACAUCUGCCUCCGCCUGCUCUUGGGUCCAGCUACUCCCCAUACGUGACAGAAUACUUUGGCCAUUAUGGACCCAGCAACUACUGAGGCACUCACUCUCCAAGGAGCCCACAUAUGAAGACAAGAAAAUACUCUCCAAGAACUCAUGGACUCUCUACACUCCCUCACACAACAAGUAUCCCUCCUUUCCUCGACGGUGCUAUCCAAACUUCCAGCUGCAGGCAGUGGCAGUCCCCGCCGUCAAGGAUCAUCUCCGGAGAAUCCAGGCAGUUUGGAAAGAUGUCCGAGCGGCGUUGACCCGGUCCGUCGCAUGCAAUAAACAGCUCGCGGACCGUCAUCGUUCCCUGACGCCCGAAUACAAGUUGCGGGGAGCUGGAGCCUAUCCUAGCUGACUUCGAGGAAGGGUGGACUUCACCCUGGACUGGUCGCCAGUCAAUCAAGGCAGAGACAGACAUCCAUUGACGCUCACCUUCACAGUGUCACUGAAUGAGAACUUAACCCACGGUGCUUGCUCAGAAGUCAGAAAACGGCAGUAAAUACUAAUGUAUAAUAUAUAUAAUAUCAUAUAAAAACUGUAUUUUGGAAGUAACUUGCCCCAAACUGAUUUGAAUGACAACUAUGUGCUUUCCAAUAUCGAGACCAGUCAAUGCUCCAAUAGUAUGAUGGCAAUGUGUAUCUGAAACACAACUGCUGUUUCUCAACUUGAAUGCUUAUUCAUUAUUCAUUCCUUCAGAUCACUUACAUAUUCCCAUUCUCCUCUUAUUUGAAUGUUGUUUUUAAUCCAGUUUAUUAAAUGAGAAU